AGGUGGAUGCAUUUUCCUAUCCUAUGAAGGGCGUGGGUCAUUUCAAAAUUGUCUGAAUCAAGUGAGCUGCAUUAAGGCUUCAUUUAGAGCUGACUGCCCAGGUUUGAAGGUGGAGAAAUGUGGCCUUCGUCUCUUGUACCAUUAUGAUUUGGAAGAGUAUGAGCAAACAAUAAGCCAUAGCAUGAACUCCUCGUUGGAUGGUUGGAAUAUCAUCUAUCAAGGAACAUCUAGUAGAACCUCCAGCUCUAGGAAGGAGUCUAAUUUUGGAAAUCUGAGAGGACCCAUUGAUCCUAAAGUCAAGGGCAAGCGAGUUCUGGAAGAAUAAUCUCUCUUAUUGGGGUCUUCUUUCUAAACUUAUUGGGUUGAGCUUGGAGUGAAGGGGACUGUUCUAAGGCUAAUCUAAUUGAUCCAUCUGACCAAACCUAUCUGAUCCAAAGCAUUGAGGACUGUUUUGAAUGAAUGGGUCAGUUGAAAUUGGGUAUGGAGGUUCAAAAAAUAAUUUGGGUGGCUGGGCAGUUGGCGAGUUUAAUAGAGUUCCUAGGUUCUUGAUUAUGUAAAUUUGUCAGUAAAUGUGUAACAUUGGUAGUAUAUUUAUGUUUUCAGUUGUUGAUGUAAAUUUGUGUAAUUUUUUUGUCUUUUUGAUGAGAUUUAUAAAUUUAAAUGUCUUUUUUUGUUAAGAGUAAAUUUGCAGAGAAGUGAAGGUGAGCUUUCUAGAAGCAUUGAAAUUAAAUAGACUUGUGAAUAUCAUAAAAAGCAUCAUUUUUUUUUUCUAUUUAUGUCGUUGAGUCUAAAGUGCUCAACCUAGCACAGUAGGUUAUGCCAAUUAUUUAUUUAUUUAUUUAAUCCUUCUGUUCAAUUUGAAUUUCUAUUAUAUAACAUUUGGGUUUAUUUAUGUUCAAUCAAUUUCAAAUUGUGAUUUAAGAAUGGCAGAGAGGAAAUUUUAUAUAAGCUGAUAUUGUGCAUUUCCCACUGCAAUCAGGAGUACUUGUCCACCCUCUCUUGAUUUUCCCAAUUCAUGUGAAGGGGGCUGCUAGUAGCUUGAUGGUGCUGGUGAACUGGUUUAGUGCUUAGGCAGUUUCCUUUACAUUCAAUUUUCUUACGAAAUGGAGUUCCUCAUGAUACUUUUUUCAUCUACCCUGCAUAGAAUCCAAGAGGGGGAGAAGGCUACAAAUAUUUGAACCGACAAUAGCUGGAGAUACUAGACCAUUGGAUUAUAUUUUGGCUCAAGUAUCAUCUUUAUUUGGUGCUGAGAAUUCAAGUUCAAACACGGCAAGAAGAAUUUAAACCAUCUGUUUUAUUAACAAAUUCUUUGGGCACCAAGUAGAUUAAAUUUAUGGGCAAAAGAAGGGAAGAUGAAAUGAAAAUUAUUUGUGGGUUGGACAAUAGAUAGCAGAGACAAUUUUUAACAAGCAUAAUAUGUGUACUUGUGCUCAUGUAAAAGAACACAGGGAUAACUACUUCUAUCCAA
Quercus lobata is the source of this 1468-nucleotide long non-coding RNA. RefSeq lists it as uncharacterized. The record is from RefSeq and is a predicted model, not a curated record. Lineage: Eukaryota; Viridiplantae; Streptophyta; Magnoliopsida; Fagales; Fagaceae. The transcript is spliced from 4 exons.